Molecule: long non-coding RNA, 1241 nt
Filed under: Oncorhynchus kisutch (coho salmon)
Lineage: Eukaryota; Metazoa; Chordata; Actinopteri; Salmoniformes; Salmonidae
Description: lncRNA (ENSOKIG00005033023.1)
Source: RNAcentral
UGAGGAACGGCGUCACUGGUUAGAGGGUUCGGUCCUUCCCUUCAUUGUGUGGAUGGAUCACAAAAAUCUAGCCUACUGUCACACCCUGACCAUAGUUUGCUUUCUAUGUUUUGGUUGGUCAGGGUGUGAGCUGAGUGGGCAUUCUGUUUCAUGUCUAGUUUGUCUAUUUCGAUAUGGUUCUCAGAGGCAGGUGUUAGUCAUUGUCUCUGAUUGGGAACCAUAUUUAGGUAGCCUGGGUUUCACUGUGUGUUUGUGGGUGAUUGUUCCUGUCUCUGUUUGCACCAGAUAGGACUGUUUCGGUUUUCACAUUUUCAUUAUUUUGGUAGUUUUUCAUGUAUAGGUUUCUCCUUUAUUAAAAUAACAUGAAUCAUCACAAUGCUGCAUUUUGGUCCGACUCUCCUUCACCACAAGAAAGCCGUUACAGAAUCACCCAACCACAACAGGACCAAGCGGCGUGGUAACAGGCAACAUGGACCUAUAGGGGAGGGCAGGAGCAGCGUGACAAGAAUUUCUGGACCUCUCGACGGGAGAGGAUCCUGGGCUAAACCAGGGGAGUGUAGCCGCCCCAAGGUGCAGCAAGAGAAGGAAUGGACAUGGGAGGACGAACUGGACGGUGAAGGACCCUGGGCUCAGCCUGGAGAAUAUCGCCGCCCCGAACUGGAGGCGACGAAAGCAGGGAGGCGCUGGUAUGAGGAGGCAGCACGGCGACGCGGAUGGAAGCCUGAGAGUCAGCCCCAAAAAAUUAUUGGGGGGGGGCUCACAGGGAGUAUGGCUAUGCCAGGUAGGAGACCUGCGCAAACUCCCUGUGCUUACCGGGGGGCUAGAGAGACCGGGCAGGCACCGUGUUAUGCAGUGGUGUGCACGGUGUCCCCAGUGCGGGUGCAUAGCCCGGUGCGGUAUAUUCCAGCUCCGCGUAUCGGCCGGGCUAGAUUGAGCGUCGAGCCAAAUGCCAUGAAGCCGGCUCUACGCAUCUGGUCCCCAGUGCGUCUCCUUGGGCCGGCUUACAUGGCACCAGCCUUGCGCACGGUGUCCCCGGUUCGCCUGCAUAGCCCAGUGCGGGCUAUUCCACCUCGCCGGGUAAGGUUGGGCAGGCUCGGUGCUCAAGAGCUCCAGUGCGCCUGCACGGUCCGGUCUAUCCAGUACCACCUUCACACACCAGCCCUCCGGUGGCAGCUCCCCGCACCAGGCUUCCUGUGCGUGUCCUCGGCCCAGUGCCAGCACCAUGCAUCAGGCCUACAGUG